ACACCUCAACUCCUCAUGGUUUGCCAUGAUGAGCUUGGACCUUGGGGGUAUUGCUGGCCCUGUGGUUGGCUCCUCUCAAAUGGAUCAGCUUGCCAGUGUUUGGUGGCAUCACGGGUGUGAUAAAUAUCUACGCUUGUGGUUUUCCACCAUAUAACCUUCCGUGGUGAAGUGCGCUGGAGCUCACAAAUGUCCCUCCUCAGCGAGGACAGCUUCUGAAU
RNAcentral lists this unclassified non-coding RNA (218 nucleotides) under uncultured Tomentella. Its description in RNAcentral is "sequence contains ITS2". Lineage: Eukaryota; Fungi; Basidiomycota; Agaricomycetes; Thelephorales; Thelephoraceae. The record is from RNAcentral.